This 457-nucleotide ribosomal RNA is filed under the name uncultured bacterium. Its description in RNAcentral is "bacterial SSU rRNA". It matches the Rfam family "Bacterial small subunit ribosomal RNA", at positions 30 to 531 of the family's 1533-position model. The record is from RNAcentral.
AUUGAACGCUGGCGGCAUGCCUUACACAUGCAAGUCGAGCGAACCCUUCGGGGUUAGCGGCGGACGGGUUAGUAACGCGUGGGAAUAUACCCUUUGGUACGGAAUAGCCUCGGGAAACUGAGAGUAAUACCGUAUGUGCCCUUCGGGGGAAGAUUUAUCGCCAAAGGAUUAGCCCGCGUUGGAUUAGAUAGUUGGUGGGGUAAUGGCCUACCAAGUCUACGAUCCAUAGCUGGUUUGAGAGGAUGAUCAGCAACACUGGGACUGAGACACGGCCCAGACUCCUACGGGAGGCAGCAGUGGGGAAUCUUAGACAAUGGGCGCAAGCCUGAUCUAGCCAUGCCGCGUGGACGAUGAAGGCCUUAGGGUUGUAAAGUCCUUUCAGAUGGGAAGAUAAUGACGGUACCAUCAGAAGAAGCCCGGCUAACUCCGUGCCAGCAGCCGCGGUAAAGUCUGUACU